AUGAACGCUGGCGGUAGGCCUAACACAUGCAAGUCGAACGGCAGCACAGUAAGAGCUUGCUCUUUCGGGUGGCGAGUGGCGGACGGGUGAGGAAUACAUCGGAAUCUACUUUUUCGUGGGGGAUAACGUAGGGAAACUUACGCUAAUACCGCAUACGACCUACGGGUGAAAGCAGGGGAUCUUCGGACCUUGCGCGAUUGAAUGAGCCGAUGUCGGAUUAGCUAGUUGGCGGGGUAAAGGCCCACCAAGGCGACGAUCCGUAGCUGGUCUGAGAGGAUGAUCAGCCACACUGGAACUGAGACACGGUCCAGACUCCUACGGGAGGCAGCAGUGGGGAAUAUUGGACAAUGGGCGCAAGCCUGAUCCAGCCAUACCGCGUGGGUGAAGAAGGCCUUCGGGUUGUAAAGCCCUUUUGUUGGGAAAGAAAAGCAGCAGGUUAAUACGCCGCUGUUCUGACGGUACCCAAAGAAUAAGCACCGGCUAACUUCGUG
RNAcentral lists this ribosomal RNA (491 nucleotides) under uncultured bacterium. RNAcentral describes it as "partial 16S ribosomal RNA". It matches the Rfam family "Bacterial small subunit ribosomal RNA", at positions 29 to 507 of the family's 1533-position model. The record is from RNAcentral.